AAAAGGUUUUAAAGUGCCAAAACCUAAAAAACUGCUCAGCUUUAAGAAAAAACGAGACUAGUUCAUGCCGCAACCGCUCAACGGUCAAAUGAACCGCUCAACGGUUUGGCCAAAAAAAUUUUCUCUCUUCUUUGCUUGCUUAAAAGCAACCUAACACAGUAGCACUUAAUUUCAACCUUCAAUUUUUCUAUUACAAGCCUUUCCCC
This 206-nucleotide long non-coding RNA is filed under the name Vigna radiata. Its description in RNAcentral is "long non-coding RNA (VRAD_LNC012505)". Lineage: Eukaryota; Viridiplantae; Streptophyta; Magnoliopsida; Fabales; Fabaceae. The record is from RNAcentral.